AAUUUGUGUAAUUCAGGACAAAUUCACGCCUACUAACAUGUUUUCUGACCGUAGGUACAUCUAAAUACGCUUGAUUCUUGCACUUCUUACACAGGCACCUAAUGUUACCUUGUCCAUCUGUGUACGCCGUUUGAUUUCUCGCCCACUCAAGGAAACUCUCAAGCCCCGUUUCAAAUGCAGUACGAUCAUUGUAUCUCGCGUACAUCCACAUACGAUUAUCACUCAUUCUUGCAAAUUCUAAUUGAAAAAAAUAAAUAAAAUAUAAUAAAUAACUUGAAAUCUAACAAAAUUUCGACAGCAUAACCCCACUAUCCUAACUACCAAGUGCUC
This 330-nucleotide long non-coding RNA is filed under the name Salvia miltiorrhiza (redroot sage). RNAcentral describes it as "long non-coding RNA (SMIL_LNC002411)". The record is from RNAcentral. Lineage: Eukaryota; Viridiplantae; Streptophyta; Magnoliopsida; Lamiales; Lamiaceae.